ACAAGGAUUCCCCUAGUAGCGGCGAGCGAAGCGGGAAGAGCUCAAAUUUAUAAUCUGGCACCUUCGGUGUCCGAGUUGUAAUCUCUAGAAAUGUUUUCCGCGUUGGACCGCACACAAGUCUGUUGGAAUACAGCGGCAUAGUGGUGAGACCCCCGUAUAUGGUGCGGACGCCCAGCGCUUUGUGAUACAUUUUCGAAGAGUCGAGUUGUUUGGGAAUGCAGCUCAAAUUGGGUGGUAAAUUCCAUCUAAAGCUAAAUAUUGGCGAGAGACCGAUAGCGAACAAGUACCGUGAGGGAAAGAUGAAAAGCACUUUGGAAAGAGAGUUAACAGUACGUGAAAUUGUUGGAAGGGAAACGCUUGAAGUCAGACUUGCUUGCCGAGCAAUCGGUUUGCAGGCCAGCAUCAGUUUUCCGGGAUGGAUAAUGGUAGAGAGAAGGUAGCAGUUUCGGCUGUGUUAUAGCUCUCUGCUGGAUACAUCUUGGGGGACUGAGGAACGCAGUGUGCCUUUUGGCGGGGGUUUCGACCUCUUCACACU
RNAcentral lists this ribosomal RNA (535 nucleotides) under Rhodotorula mucilaginosa. Its description in RNAcentral is "partial large subunit ribosomal RNA". It matches the Rfam family "Eukaryotic large subunit ribosomal RNA", at positions 68 to 617 of the family's 3401-position model. The record is from RNAcentral. Lineage: Eukaryota; Fungi; Basidiomycota; Microbotryomycetes; Sporidiobolales; Sporidiobolaceae.